Molecule: ribosomal RNA, 253 nt
Filed under: uncultured bacterium
Lineage: Bacteria
Description: partial 16S ribosomal RNA
Rfam family: Bacterial small subunit ribosomal RNA
Source: RNAcentral
UACGUAGGGUGCGAGCGUUAAUCGGAAUUACUGAGCGUAAAGGGUGCGCAGGCGGCGUCGCAAGUCAGGCGUGAAAUCCCCGGGCUCAACCUGGGAACUGCAUUUGUGACUGCAUCGCUGGAGUGCGGCAGAGGGGGAUGGAAUUCCGCGUGUAGCAGUGAAAUGCGUAGAUAUGCGGAGGAACACCGAUGGCGAAGGCAAUCCCCUGGGCCCGCACUGACGCUCAUGCACGAAAGCGUGGGGAGCAAACAGG